This 397-nucleotide ribosomal RNA is filed under the name uncultured bacterium. Its description in RNAcentral is "partial 16S ribosomal RNA". It matches the Rfam family "Bacterial small subunit ribosomal RNA", at positions 523 to 918 of the family's 1533-position model. The record is from RNAcentral.
AUACGUAGGGGGCAAGCGUUAUCCGGAUUUACUGGGUGUAAAGGGCGUGUAGGCGGUUUGGCAAGUCAGAAGUGAAAUUCCCGGGCUUAACUUGGGCGCUGCUUCUGAAACUGCUUAACUUGAGUGCUGGAGAGGAUAGUGGAAUUCCUAGUGUAGCGGUAAAAUGCGCAGAUAUUAGGAGGAACACCGGUGGCAAAGGCGGCUAUCUGGACAGUAACUGACGCUGAGGCGCGAAAGCACGGGGAGCAAACAGGAUUAGAUACCCUGGUAGUCCGUGCCGUAAACGAUGAAUACUAGGUGUAGGGGGUAUCGACUCCCUCUGUGCCGCAGUUAACACAUUAAGUAUUCCACCUGGGGAGUACGGCCGCAAGGUUGAAACUCAAAGGAAUUGACGGGG